UUUCUUUACAUUUUAGAAUGGAAAUUCUUGAAGGACAGAACUUUUAUCUUACUGACUUUCAAAUACCAUGGUCUACAGCAUCAUACACUUCAUAGUGGACUUCUGACGGAGUCACAAACUUAUUCCAGCAAACUCAGUUUGAUAUAUUAAACAAUGAGCUUGGAUUUCUAAAAUUUUGGGGAAGCACAGCUUCAGGAAGUUCAUGAAACUAACCAGAUUCAUUAAGCCUAUCCCUGCCAGAGUAUGCAACAAAGACUGUGGAGAGUCAUUCUCAGACUAGCUAAGCUGCAAAGAAGAUUCUCAGACAAGUCAAGCUGCAAAGACUCUGAGACAACAUCAGCUGCUUGGAAGAAGCAGAAACCAACAGAGAUGCCUGGACAAAGUUUAGAUCAACUGAGUCACUUAGAAAGGACAGCCUUCAACCUCUUGAGCUUCCUGUAGCUGGGCAGAAUGCUCCAGGUUCCCAGGUUUGUGAGCUGCUACCUGGGUCAGAAUGAGAUUUCUACUGUAAGCAACUCCUCACCCGUGUUCCUGUAAGU
This is a long non-coding RNA of Mus musculus (house mouse), 539 nucleotides long. RefSeq annotates it as predicted gene, 40753. NCBI's taxonomy places the organism in Eukaryota, Metazoa, Chordata, Mammalia, Rodentia, Muridae. The record is from RefSeq and is a predicted model, not a curated record. The transcript is spliced from 3 exons.